AUUCCCUAGGUUCAUGCAUCCACUCUAUCAUUACACUUUCAUUUUCUCCCCUCAUUUGCACACGUACACCUUUAUCCCUUCACUUGCACACGAACACUUCUCCUCUCAUUUGCACACGUACACCUUUUUAUCCCUUCACUUGCACACAAGCACCUUUAUCCCUUCACUUGCACACGAACACUUCUCCCCUCAUUUGCACACGUACACCUUUUUAUCCCUUCACUUGCACACAAACACUUUUAUCAUCACUUGCACACAUGUACUUCAUAUUAUCAUUUCACACACCGCACCUUGCCCACUCACGUGCACAUUUCCAUUUACACAUUCUUAUCUUUUAUUACUUUUUCAAACUCAUGUCCUCACAUUGCAUACAUGCAUCCCAUUCAUUUGCAUCCCACUCGCAUUAUUCGUGAUUUCUUCAAAGGAUCGUUAUUGGGCUUCACGAUUAAUGUGAUUGGCACCACUCAACCUUUGAAGGGAAAUUUCCCCCAAUACCCCUAGGUCUAGGGUUUGCAUUCAUGUAGUGCAUCCAAAUGUAAUAAAUUCUUUGGUUAAAACAAGAAAAUCUUUGAUUAAAUCAACGUAACUAGCCUUGGCUAGGUCAAAGGGGUGCCUUGGAUUUUCAUCCUUGCCUUCCCCUUCGUCAAAUGUGACUCCCGAAUCUUUUUCAUUGGUUUACGUGGACUAGGAGUCGUUCAAAAGGGUUUCUUACUUUUUUCCUUAAAAAAUUCACUUUUUUGGGUGACUUGGUACACCCUAACUCUAUACCAAGUGGCGACUCCAUUUUUCAUAUAAAAAACCCCUUUUGAACUAUUUUUCUUGGGUCAAAUCGUCGCAUUUUCAAAAGUCCCAUUUAGACCCAUCUUUCUUUUAAAUCACAAUUAAUUUUCCAAUCACACAAAUACAUUUUUAAAAAACCAUAUUUAUUUAUUUAUUUAUUUUAUCAAAAAAUGGGGCGCGACAGUUGGCGACUCCACUGGGGACUUGAGAGUCCGAGCAAUCGAUUUAGUCAAUUCUUUUCUUCUUUUAACCUUUUCAUUUAUCACAUUGGAUGUUUAGGAUUGCAUUUUUCCUUUUUUUAGGAUUUUUGCAUUUCGCGUAUCAACUCACUUCCUCACACAUUCGCCUACAAUUGUUUGGAUGGAUGGAUGAUUUAUUUAUGUAUGAUUUCGCGCUUUGCAUUGCAUUUGGGGGGUGUGUGUCACCCUUAGAGCCUUGCGAUUGGUUCUCGACCCCUUCCCUCAAAAUAGGGAACACUCCAUACGUGCACGUUUACUUAUUGUUAUCCCACUUUAUUUUAUUUUUUCGUGGGCGUUUCCCACACCGCCUUGUAGGAUUAGGAUCGAUCGCCUUGGGUAGGCGGCUGGUGUGCGCUGCGCCCAUAGCGCUACCUAAGGGAUCACUCGAGCCACCGACCAAGGGCCCUGGGGGUGAUGACCCUUCGCCUUUAGGUCUGAAGGCUUGGGAGCCGAGACUUAUCGAGUCUAGAUGCAUUAGUGAACCCCAACCUCAUGCAUCCAUACUAGAAUUACCUAGGAUAGAGUCGACCUCAUCCUGAACUAGGAACACUAGGCACGAGGGAGGGGGUCCCACCCCUUUUCCUUAUGUACUUUUCCUGCUUUUUAUAUCAUUUAAUUGUCCAACGUGUUAUGUGAUUAUGUGUUGAACUAACUUUCAUUGUUUCUUGCCUUCGCACUCACAAACGUUAGGAAAUGAGAGGUCUGGCAUGACCUUUCUUUUAGGACCUACCCUUGUAGAUAGGCUUUUACACGUUUAAAGUUUGUGGCAUAUUUCGUUCAUAAAUUAAUAAUGCCAUACCAUUUUAGGCCUACCCUGGCAGAUAAAGGGUUCCUUAGGUCACGUCUCAUUUCGAAUUGCAUAUUUUACUGCUUUUAAUAAACUGGCAUCACGCAUAAACCAUAGAAAGGGGCCACGUAGGGGAUCCCGUGUUUAGGAAUAAGCCGCCAUAUGUCUCGGAUAUUUAAUCCAAUGGGACUUACACGUUUACUAUUUCUAUAUUACCUAAGGGGUAAAAUCCCAGGGUAAGGUACUAAAAAGUGAAUUGCUCCUUCAGAUGGCUCCGUGUCGAAUGUUAGACCAUAUACCUCGUGAGCUGAUUGAUUGGAAGAACAACAUGGCACAUGAAGUGAACAAACUUUUCCCGUAUAUAGGACAUUUACCUAGUCUUCUGAACAUAACUCCGAAUGUAGCCAUUGUCGAAGCUUUGCUCGAGUUCUGGGAUCCGGACGGCUCUGUUUUCCGGUUUGGAGAGUGCGAAUUAACCCUAACCUUGGAGGAGAUAGAAGGAUUGUUCCAAGUACCUGGGAAAGGACACCCUAUGGUAUACCCAAUGAAUGGCACCCGAGAACAAUUUUGUAGGUUCUUAGGGUUGAAACAAUUUAGCAUGAAUCCACACCCGGACGUAAAGUCAUGUCCACUCGAGUUCUUAUACAAGCGAUUUGGGGGAAAGGAAGCCUAUGAUCAUCACCGCGAGGAUUUCUUCAUUAGUAAAGAGCAGUGGGAAGAGAAACGAGUACAAGCCUUUGGGAUAGCCCUGAUUAAUCUACUCCUGUUUCCGCAAAAGCAUGGAAAAGUUAUUUUCUCAACGAUCAACAUGGUUCAGAGUGUGUUUGUGGGAAUUAAAGGGAAAACUCCCACCCUAGUACCCAUUAUCAUUGCUAACAUUUUCGCCGCUAUUACGGAAUGCCGAAAGAGGAGAGGGUUCUUCUAUGCAUCCAACCUAGUGCUUCAAAUGUGGGCAAUGGAACAUCUGGCAAAAAGGGCGCUAAAUCCGUUAGGUUCAUGUCUUUCAACAGCAAAUUGGGUUGAGUCGCACCGAGAAAGGGUUAUAAGAUACUAUCGAGUAGCAUCUCCUAGUGUGUUCAGCCAGGAAUUCAAUGCCUUAACUUCGGAUAAGGUCCAGUGGGUUCUCGAUUGGACGAAAGUAAGGGAUCCGGCUUUCAAGACUAUACGGUUUGACUUCAUUCCGUUAGCAAGCACCAGUGGGUUGGUUAGGUACAUUCCACAACGAGUUAUGAGACAGUUUGGGUACCCGCAGAGAGUGCCAACCAUACAAGAAGUGGGAGGCAUCGAACUCAAUACAAUCACUAAGUGCCGGACUAUGGUGUUGGAAGCUUGGGGGAAUUUGUGUAGUUUGGACAACCUGCAUUUGGACCAAGUGAAUAAAGAAGAGCCUAGCAUCGUCUUGGAGUACAACGAAUGGAUCAAAUCAAUGAUGGAACAAGGAAGAGAAAGGAUACCGUUGGUUACCGUUGGUCUUGAAGAGCAGAAUGGGAAACUAAGGAAAGAAUUAGAGGAGCAUCAGUUGCAGAUCAUGGUGCCCGAUCAAGCAUUGGAAGACGCCCGCACACAAUUGAGGAAAGAGGCAAGGAAGACCGAGAAGUUGGAAAAGGCAUUGAGUGCAUUUGAUAAAAUCCAAGAUGAAAUUCGAAAGCUUAGUAUUGGGAGUUCUAGGGAAUCCCAACACACUAGACUAGCCAGGCAUGAAGAUUUUGUAAGAAUGGUCGGCCGAACCAUCAAUGAAGUUGUAAAGAAGGACUGAGUUUAUCCGUAUUUUAAUGAGAAUUCCUGCUUUUAUAUUCACUUACAGGUUUGAAAAUGGGAUUUUACCCCGAAGGCUUGCAUCAUGCUAGGCCUACCCUUGGCACAAAAGGGCCCCCCAAAUAGGACAUGCAUCCGAAUUGUUCAAAUAAUUACUAACUCAUGUCUUUUUCUUUUUCUCUUUUGAAUAAAUUGCAGAAAUUCAAUAAUGAUUGGUUUAUCUAAAGCAGUCUUUUGCCUUCUCAGGUAAAAUUUUUCAAAAUAGCUUUUCGGAAAAGCCCCAUUAUUACGCGAUCCCGAAGUAGAGCCCAAAGGAAUCGUGUAAACAUGAAUAUUCAACCAGAAUCAUCCGAUAAGACUACAGCGACUACACAGCCGGAAGUCACGAGUCCUGGAGUCCAGUUGGCCGAGUUACUUGCUAAGUUUGGGGAAAUGGCCUCUGAAAUGGCCGCCCAAAAGAAAUUAAUAGAUGAGCUUGUCAGUAGCGGGGUACAGCCGGAGCUUCCACACGUAAUACAACUGCAAUCUGAACCCUUUGUUAUUCCUACAGUUCAAACUACUGUUCCCAUGCAAGGUCCACCCGAAGGGACUUUCACCUACCCCACCGUUCAUCUGCCAUACACUUACCCUCCUAAUCCUUCAUUUUUCCCUACUCAUAUGCAAGGCCCACAACCUCAAGUCACUGCAAAUAUACCACAUGAGACACAAGCUUUUUAUUACCCCACCACUGAGCCUUAUCUGCCAGACCAUUUUAUUCAAACCAAACCAGAGGUGGGAGGAUCCUCUGCUCCCAUUGAUGUGAAGUUAUUAAAGCGCCUGGACCGUUUCGAUGAAUUCAUGAGGAAGAGUCAGGUGCUAAACAAGCAAGGAGUUUUGGAUUACGAUGAGCUGUGUCUCUUUCCGAAUGUGCAACUGCCUGAGGGGUUCAAAACUCCUAAGUUUAACAAAUACGAUGGGAUGGGUAAUCCCAAGACGCACCUCCGACUAUUUGCAAACAAAUUGGGAAAGCCUGUGGACGAUGAAAACUUGCCUCUAAGGUUGUUCCCUGAAAGUCUGGAAGGGGACGCACUUGACUGGUAUUCAAAUCUGAAACCUGAAGACGUAAGAACCUGGAUUGACUUGUCCAAGGCUUUCGUAAGGCAAUAUGAGUAUAAUUGUGAGUUGGCACCGACUAGAACCACAUUGGAAGGAACUAAAAGAAAACCCUCCGAAGAUCAUAAGACUUAUGCAAAGAGGUGGAGAAGGAUAGCUGCCAAGGUGGAGCCUCCAAUGACCGAGGAAGAAAUCAUCCGUACUUUCAUCAAGGCCCAUGAUCCUCCAUACUUUGAAGAGAUUUUCCGUAUGACCGGAUGUUCAUUCGCGGCAAUUGUAAAUAAACUUGAAGAAUUUGACGACUUUGUACGAGCCGGAAAAAUUGUUAAUGUAUCCGCCCUGAAAUCGCAAGUGGAAGCUUUGCAAGGGCGAGGAAGCAGUGAAAAGAAACCACAAUUCAAAAAGAAAGAAGGAGAUACAACCUUUGUUUGGAACCACAACCCCUCACCCAGACCCCGAUACCAACACGACCCAGCCUACCAGCAACCUUACCCUUACUACUAUUCAAGCCCAAACCCUGUAUAUACUACCAACAUCCACCACCCUCGACCUCGUCCAAACUAUACUAACCCACCUUCAGCCCCUUUUCAAAUUUCUCAACCAAAUCCACCCCAAAACCGACCUCGACCUCCAUUUAACCCAAGAUUUCCUCCUCCAAAUAGACCUGCUUACAACUAUCCUCAACCCACUGAACCCUACAACCGACCCCCAAGCCGUACUUUUACCAAUUUAGGUAGGCCUUUAGACCAACUGUACGACCAGUUAAGGGCCUCCGGAAAAAUUGGUACAGUACCACCUCCUACCUAUCCGUAUGGCAUGCCCGCUUGGUAUAACCCGCAAGCUGUUUGCGCAUAUCAUUCGGGGGCACCUGGGCAUGCAACUUUGGAUUGCAAGGCGCUAAAGCAUAAAGUUCAGGAUAUGGUUGAGUCUGGAGAAAUCGUGAUCAGAAAGAGGGAGCCGCAAGGGCCAAACGUAAAUCAAAACCCCUUACCAGAGCAUGUUGGGGUUAUUAUGGACGAUGCGGAGUACGAGGAACAAAUCGAGAAAUUGGCAAUAGAAGCUGAAGUGUUUGGGGUCACGGACCAACCGUUUGUCACAGAGUUGCCAUUCGAAGAAGAUAACAAGCCUUUUGUCUUAGAUCUCACGCCAGCGGAGAAUGAAGCUUUGAAACCAGUAGUCAUCGAAUUCCCGAAGCAGGAGCCCGUAUUAAGUCUGCAACAAGUGCCGUGGAAUUACGAUGAGCCUAGCAUACAGAUCGGGGAAAAUUCAACUGCAAAGAAAGAGGUGUCAGUGGUUACCAGAUCGGGGAAGACUGUAAGUCCAUUUGAAACUACUAUUCCGAUUCAAGCUAAUUCCGAACCACCCAUUAAGCCAACAAUCACCGAGAAAGAAGCCGUGGAUUUCCUUAAACGACUUCAGAGAAGUGAAUACAACAUAGUGGAAAAGCUAAGCAAAUCACCUGCCCAGAUAACCAUGUUGGACCUACUUUUCUCUUCAGACGUGCAUAGGGAUGCAUUGAUCGACGUAUUAACAAGAGCUCAAAUUCCGAGGGACAUUUCUGUUGAUAAUUUUUCAAACGUGGUGGGGAGCGUGUUAUUCAACAAGCAAAUUGCUUUUUCUGAUGAUGAAUUGCCGACGGAAGGCAUCGGACAUAAUAGGGCGUUGUACAUAACCGUGAGGUGCAACGGGAAAAUGCUGCCAAAAGUAUUAAUCGAUAAUGGAUCCGCACUGAAUAUUUGUCCUUGGAGUACCUUAGAGAAACUAGGAUUGCAAGACAUCAAGCUGAGGCCUUCAGGGACUAUCGUUCGAGGGUUUGAUGGAGCGCAGAGGGAGCCAAUAGGAGAAGCAGAUCUAGUAAUCGAGAUGGGGCCCGCCCAAUUUCAAAUAACUUGCCAAGUAAUGCACUUCCCGAGCAUUUACAAUAUUUUACUUGGAAGGCCAUGGAUUCACAAGUCGGGGGCUGUGCCGUCUUCGUUGCAUCAAUUGCUCAAGUUCGUGGUAAAUGACAAACUAAUCACUAUCUUUGCUGAAGAGGACUGCCUGGUGAUCACCGAUUCUGGAGUUAAAGAGGAGGGUAGUCAAAGUGUUACCAUGUCCCCUCACAGCACAUCCGAUAUAGUCUCCGUAAGUUGGAUAACCACGGAGGAACAAACUCUCUCAAAGGCCAGUGUAAUGAUGGCCAGAGAAAUGAUUCGUGGAGGAUACAAAUUCGACAAGGGGUUGGGGCGCGAACUGCAAGGGAUCCUGAAGCCAGUGGAGAUUAUGGAAAAAAGGGAUACGUUUGGUUUGGGUUUCCGGCCAACCACCAAGGACAUCAAAGAGAUGAAGGAGCGUAAAAGAGCAGAAAAAGAGGGCCGACAAAGGGUUUUUGACAUUCCACCGUUGCGGUAUACCUUUCCACGGCCAACUGAGAUAAUCACAGCAGAGGGUAAUUCAACUGAAGAAAUCGAGGAUAGUUUGUCCCAAUUGUUCAUUGGGGCAACAUUUGAAGAUGAUUUUCCGAGCGAGGCCGAAUUUCCUGACAUCCCUGAGGGGUCUAUUUCUAAUUGGACUGCCGAGUUCCUGCCUGUUCAGAAGGAGUUUCGGUAAAUCUAGGGGGUUUGUCAUUCAUAUGGAUUCAUGGAAAAGUACUUUUGCAUCUGUAAAUAGUUAAUGAAAGCAUCUUUACUUUUGGCUAAAAUUUGCAUAUGUAAAUAUUGUUUCCGUUUGCUUUCUUUUUGUUUUGCUUUCAAUCAAAGGUUUUAUGAAAAUGCACAAGUUGUUCUUGUCAUGUUGUUGUUUAUUCGUUUGUUUAUAUUCAUAUUGCUUGUUUCAUUUGUUUGUUGUAUGUUUAUUUGCUUAUUGUCCCACAUUCGUUAAUUCUUUCAGAUGGCCAAAAAUAAAACUGUUUGACCCGUUGGAUAUUACUAUUCUGGAAUUCGAUAAUGGCAAUCUCUAUAUCACUCACGACUUGGAGGUCUGUGAAUCCGAGCUCCAAAGCGAGAGUGAUAAUGAGGAGGUGUUCGAUUCUUUUGCAAAGGACUUUGAACAAUAUGAGGAAAAACCGAAACCGAACCUGGAAGAGACAGAAACAGUAAACAUUGGCACUAAGGAUGAAGUUAAGGAGGUGCAGAUCAGUAUUCAUUUGAAUGAGAGGCAGAAAAAGGAGAUGAUUGAAUUUUUGACUAUGUUCCAGGAUGUGUUCGCAUGGUCCUAUGAUGAUAUGACUGGCAUUUCAACUGAUGUGGUGGUGCAUAGGUUACCCACAGACCCUUCUUUUCCACCCGUAAAACAAAAACCCCGAAAAUUCAAACCAGAUAUGAGCCUCAAAAUAAAAGAGCAAAUUGAAAAACAACUCAAAAUCAACAUUAUCAUUGUUUCCCAUUACCCAAUUUGGCUUUCAAACCCAGUCCCUGUUCCAAAAAAGAGUGGAGAGGUGAGAGUUUGUGUUGACUAUAGAGACCUUAAUAAAGCCAGUCCUAAAGAUGAUUUUCCUCUACCAAAUAUUCACAUUCUCUUAGACAAUACUGCCGGACAUGAGAUUGAAACCUUUUGCGAUUGUUUUGCUGGCUAUCACCAAAUUUUGAUGGCAGAAGAGGAUAGGGAGAAAACUGCUUUCAUUACCCCUUGGGGCACAUUUUGCUACCGAGUGAUGCCUUUCGGUUUAAAGAAUGCCGGAGCAACAUAUCAGAGGACCAUGACAACCCUAUUUCAUGAUAUGAUCCACCGAGAAAUGGAGGUCUACGUGGAUGACAUUAUAAUCAAGUCUAAAAGGGCAGAGGACCACUUGGUUGAUCUGAAGAAAUUAUUCGAGAGGUUGCGGAAGUACAAUUUAAAGCUAAAUCCUGCGAAAUGCGCCUUCGGAGCACCUGCGGGUAAGCUGUUGGGAUUCAUUGUUAGCAAGAAGGGCAUAGCAAUAGAUCCGGCGAAAAUCAAAGCAAUUCGAGACAUGCCAGUGCCAAAAACUCAGAAGGACGUGAAAAGCUUUUUAGGGAAGAUCAAUUUUAUCGGGAGGUUCAUUGGCCAACUAACUGCCACAUGCGAGCCGUUGUUCAAAUUAUUGAGGAAGAACGUGCCGUUGUAUUGGAACGAGGAGUGCCAACAGGCUUUUGACAAGAUUAAAGAUUAUUUGUUGCAUCCACCAGUCUUAGUGCCACCCAAACCGGGCCGGCCUUUGAUUAUGUAUUUAUCCGUGCUUGAAGGAGCAGUUGGGUGUGUCCUCGGGCAGCACGAUGACUCUGGAAGGAAAGAACAAGCCAUUUACUAUCUAAGCAAGAAGUUCACGCAGUACGAGACUAAUUAUUCAUUCAUUGAGAAAAGCUGCUGUGCAUUGGCCUGGGCAGCCCAGAAGUUGAGACACUAUCUGUUGAGCCAUACCACGUAUCUUAUUUCCCGGUCUGAUCCUUUGAAGUAUCUUUUGGAGAAGCCGAUGUUGACUGGGCGUCUGGCGAAAUGGCAGAUAAUUCUCUCAGAGUUCGAUAUUGUUUUCACUUCACAGAAAGCUGUCAAGGGGCAAGCUAUAGCUGAUCAUUUGGCGGAAAAUCCAAGAGAUGAUGAUUAUCAACCACUCCGUACUUAUUUCCCUGACGAGAGGGUCCUAUUUGUAGGCGCUGCAGAUGAUAUAAGUGAACAAAGUUCUGAAUGGAGGCUUUUCUUCGAUGGAGCUUCGAAUUCUCUCGGAGCUGGAAUUGGAGCUGUUCUGGUUUCACCCGAAGGGAAACAUUACCCUGCCGCUGCCAAAUUGCAAUUCGCUUGCACGAAUAACAUGGCUGAGUAUGAAGCCUGCAUUUUUGGUCUCAAAAUGGCGUUAGAAAUGGAAAUCAAAGAGUUGAUAGCUUUCAGUGAUUCAGAUUUGCUCGUACACCAGACUUUGAAGCAGUGGAUAACCAAGGAUUCGAAAAUUCUUCCUUACCAUUGUAGUUUGCUCACUUUGGCCAAGCAAUUUCAAAAUUUAGAGUUCAGACAUCUCCCGCGAGCCCGUAAUGCAUUUGCUGAUGCCUUGGUCACUCUAGCCUCUAUGAUCCAGUAUCCAGACGAAUUGAAAAUCGAACCAAUCCAAAUUCAACUUCAAGAUAAACCUGCCCACUGUUGGGUCGCAGACGAGUCCUCUGAUACCAUGCCUUGGUAUAAGGAUAUUAAGGAAUUUCUCAAAACGGGGUCUUACCCUCAGCAUGCUAGUUCAAAGGAUAAGAGUUUUUUGCGCAGAAUGGUUUCCAAGUUUUUCUUAAGUGGAGAAGUGUUGUACAAAAGAACCUCAGAUUUGAACCUUUUAAGGUGCAUUGAUGAGGAUGAAGCUCAGUAUAUGAUGAAAGAAGUGCACAGUGGUGUUUGUGGACCUCACAUGAAUGGCCAUUUGCUGGCGAAGAAAAUCAUGAGAACCGGAUACUUCUGGCUUACCAUGGAGCAUGAUUGUAUAGACUUUGUCCGGAGAUGUAUAAAAUGCCAAAUGCACGGUGACAUUAUACGCGCUCCACCCACUGAGUUGCAUAGCAUGACCGCCCCGUGGCCCUGUUCAAUGUGGGGUAUGGACGUAAUUGGCAUGAUUGACCCGCCUGCUUCAAAUGGGCAUCGAUUUAUAUUGGUGGCAAUCGAGUACUUUACCAAAUGGGUUGAAGCGGAGUCAUUCAAACAUGUAACGAAGAAAGUAGUGGCCAAUUUCUUGAGAGAUCACAUCAUUUGUCGCUUCGGAGUACCCGAGACGCUGAUUACAGAUAAUGCCAAAAAUCUGAACAAUGACAUGGUAGAUGGACUAUGUGAGCAGUUCAAAAUCAGACACCGUAAUUCUGCUAUUUAUAGGCCUCAGAUGAAUGGAGCCGUGGAAGCUGCGAACAAAAAUUUGAAGAAGAUUAUACGCAAAAUGACUGAAAGGCAUCGUGAUUGGCAUGAGAAGCUGCCUUAUGCACUAAUGGCAUAUCGGACUUCUAUCCGAACAUCAACUGGGGCAACGCCGUAUUCACUUAUGUAUGGAAUGGAAGCUGUCUUGCCAGCUGAGGUUGAGAUCCCGUCGCUACGAAUCCUUAUGGAAGCUAAGUUGGAGGAGGCUGACUGGUUGAAGCAGCGACAUGAGCAAUUAACUUCGAUCGAUGAAAGGAGAUUCAACGCUAUCUGUCAUGGUCAAUGCUAUCAGAAGCGGGUGGCCCGGGCUUAUAACAAAAAAGUCCAUCGGCGGGCAUUCGAAGAAGGUGAUAAAGUACUAAAGCGGAUUUUGUCAAUGCAAGAAGAAGCUAAAGGCAAAUUUGCUCCAAAUUGGCAAGGGCCAUUCAUUGUCCAAAAGGUAUUACCUGGCGGAACGCUCAUCUUGGCGGAAAUGGAUGGACGGGCAUUCCCUCAACCCAUCAACUCAGAUAUGUGCAAAAAGUUUUUCAUUUGAUCAUGCAAAUUUUCUUAAGAAAUUCAUGCAAAUGGCGAAAUACAAGUCAGGCCAUUUUCUUUUACACUAAAAAAUAUUUUAUCCCUACUUGUCCCCUUUGAGCCACCAGAAUUGACAAAUUUUCAUUUGACAGCCCCUGGGAAUUGCAAACCCCACACUGGGGCAAAGUUAUUUUGAAAGAGAGAUGAAAAGAAAAGAAAGCAGAAAACCCCACACUGGGGCAAAAUUUAGUUUUAAAGAAAAAUGCAAAAGUGAGGAAAAAUGCAAUGAAAGAAUGCAAAAGAGAAAAUCCAAUUAAACUGGGGCAGAUUUUCCUCGGUUUCAUUUCAAAAUGGUGCAAUCUCAGUUCAUUUCACACCUCUUAUCAAAAUCUGCUUUUAAGCCUGAACUUUUCUUGAGAACACCCCACCUGACCUCGUUACAAAAGCCCAAAGUCCUGGCUUUCGUCACUUGCUGCAUUUCUACUAGAAAAUUUGUUAACCAACUGGCAGGUGAUGUCCGUAAUGCCUUCGCCCAAUUUCUCAAGGGAAGUGCAUUUUACUGAUGCUAGAAUCUUUAAUGCAUAUUUCUGAGUCAACUGUGGUCAAGAGAUUUCGUUGUUCUUUAGGUGAAAACCCGAAAGGGCGCCUCAAUUAAAAAAUAAAAAUAAAAAUAAAAAUAAAAAAUAAAAAAAACAAAAUCAAUCAAAAAGGGGUGGGGGCAACCUUGGUGAAAACCCGAAAGGGCGCCAAGGUCGGUUUUUCGCAACGGAUGAGCACGAUAAGGGACAGCUGGUGACCUGGUUCAUUUAGACUUUUCCUCAUGUUUGUGAUAUUUCUGCCAGUAUCGAAUUCCGAAACAGAUAUACCCCAAGUUUCGAAUAUAACAUUGUUUGGCCAAACUUGUACAAACAUUCUUUUACAAAAUGUACUCUUAUAAAUCUUUUGGUUCCUCUCAAUUCAAUUAUUUGUGUUCGACUGUUUGUGAUUGUUUGUAUUCUUUUGGAUUCUCAUUUUUGCCUGACAUAGGAAAUUCAUUUUGCAUAUAUCAUUGUUUCAUAUGACAUUUUCAUGCAUCAUUCUUUCACCAUUGAAUUCGUACGAAUGAUAAACCCUAAGGUUUGUUCAAAGAUGGGGAAUUCGGUCAUCUAUCGCAGUGGUUAAAAGUAACACGACUGCUACACGGAUUUGGGUGAAGUAGUAAACACGUGCUUAUCAGUCUCAGAAUCUGAAAGGUUUCAAAGUUGCAAGCUCGACUAAGGUGUACGCCGCAAACUAGAGGCAAAAGCAUCACAAGACUCAUGUUUACACGAUUCUCAAGGCUAAUCGGAUCAAAUGAUGGUGGCGAGUCCAUUACCACUUUUUCUUUUCUUGCAGGAACAUUACAAAUAUUCUAUUUCUCGCACUUAAAUCAACGUCAGAACUGGCUCCCCAAUAAGCAACGGUGAAGUGAUAAAGUUGUUGACGAAGUUUGAGCAUAAAGAACGACAUCAGUUAUCGUUUCAGUCACAAAAAUCAAAACUCCCUUUUGCUGCAAAAGUGUGAACUACUUUCAGGUAAAACUCAAUUUAUUGUUUAAACAUCUCCAGUGAAGUCCCGUUUAAAUUCUGUUCGGGUCAGUCCCGUUUAAAUUCUGUUCGGGUCAGUCCCGUUUAAAUUCCUGUUCGGGUCAGUCCCGUUUAAAUUCUGUUCGGGUCAGUCCCGUUUAAAUUCCUGUUCGGGUCAGUCCCGUUUAAAUUCCUGUUUCAAAUUCCUGUUCGGGUCAGUCCCGUUUAAUUCCUGUUCGGGUCAGUCCCGUUUAAAUUCUGUUCGGGUCAGUCCCGUUUUAAAUUCCUGUUCGGGUCAGUCCCGUUUAAAUUCCUGUUCGGGUCAGUCCUGUUUAAAUUCCUGUUCGGGUCAGUCCCGUUUUAAAUUUCUGUUCGGGUCAGUCCCGUUUUAAAUUUCUGUUCGGGCCAGCCCCGUUUAAUUUCUGUUCGGGUCAGUCCCGUUUAAAUUUCUGUUCGGGUCAGUCCCGUUUUAAAUUCCUGUUCGGGUCAGUCCCGUUUUAUUUUUCAUGUUCGGGUCAGUCCCGUGUUAUAAUUCCUUUUCGUGAGAAUCUUUUGCAGCCCAAUAACACAGGUAAGUAUUUGGUGUCUACUUCUUUGUCUCAAGUUUUUUCAAAACUCAGACAAAGAGGGGCAAACUGUAGACACCAAAUUUUGAAUAAUUCUAUGUAGCAUCUAUUUCAUGAUUUUCAUUUUAGAUUGCUUGCAUUUUAGUUCGUUAUUGUGUGUUUUGCACUAUUAGUUGUUAUGAUAUUUUAGUUUUAUUCAUUUUCGCCCUUUUAGUUGACCUAUUUCAUUUGCUAUUUAUUCUUAUUCACUUUUAGUUUUAGUUUUUAGUUUUAGCUUUUAAGUUUAAGAUUAGCAUAGAGUUUUUUUUAGAAAAAGAAAAAAAAAGAAAAGAAAACAUCAAAAAAUAUGUUUUAAUCAUGUUGUUUUUAUUCAAUGCUUUCUCGAAGGGAAAAUGAAAAUGAAAAUUAUAGGAAAAAGGAGAAAAGAGAAAAAUUAAAGAAAAAGAGGAAAAAGAAGAAAAAUUCAAAAAUAUAGGCUUUAGUUGGAUUGGAAAAAUGAAAAAAAGAGAAAAGGAAAAUUUGUUCACAAAAAAUAUGUUUAUUUCUUUUAAAUUCAGCUUUUUGGCAUUUUAUUUUAUUAAGUUAUUUAAAAAAAAAAAAAGUGAAAAAUGAGAAAAAUGGAAAAAUGGAAAAUUGCAUUUUUGUUGUUUUUAGUUUAUUUUUAUCUAAUGUUAAUUAAGUUGUUUUCAUCAUUAAUUAUUAUUGUUUUAUUAUUAUCAUUUUUGUUGUUUAAUUAAUUAAUUAGUUAAAAAAUAUAUAUAAAAAAAAAUAAAUAAAUACCACCGCAUGCACGCUGCAAUUUUUUUGGCAGCGUGCAAAGGACAAUUUCAGCAGAGCCAUCGGAUGGCUGGAUGGAAAGGGAAGGAUAAACCCUUCAUCCUCACCAUUCGAGAGAGGGUUUUAUAGAUUGGAGUUCCAUAUAAAAGGUAACAAGAAGCAGCAGCCGCAGGAAGAGGGUUAGAGAGAAAGGAACAGCUGCAAAAUCUGGGGAGAGAAGGGAGUGAACGGCAGAACUGAGAGCAAGAGGGAAAAGGGGCAGAGCUAGGAAGAAAGAGGGAGGACAAUCGAGAGAGAGAGCUAGUGGGGAGAGAGUGGAACGGCUAAGGAAAACUGAGAAGAGAGAGACAAAGGUUGUCGGCUGUAGACUAAAGGGAAAAAUCAGAAACAAGCAAAAGAAAGGAAAGAAAAAGGCUAAGAAAUCAACGAGAGUGUUCGUCGGCAGGAGAGCUAGAAGGAGAACCGAGGAAGGAGGAUACGGGUAAAAAAGAAAGGACGAAACCAGGAGGGUCUUCAGAGACAAACCUCUGUUCGUUUUCUUUGAACUCAAAUCUGCCCAAGAAUCCAUCAUCAGGUAAUCAUAACUCCAUUUCUUAUUCAUUCUAAUUCCUGAACGAAGUAGCAUACAUGAAAUCUGUGCCUUUUGGGUUUUUAUUGCUUGGCAUUUCGAUGGAUAAUUUUAUCUGGAAUGGGAGAUUUGAGGCACUAAUUUCAUGAUGUUGUGAGGAUUUUUGAUGGGGAUGUGAUUCUUAUGGGAUUUGAUCGUGGGUCAUGUGAAUCUGGUUUGAAUGUUUGCCAGUACUUUUGAGAUUGAAUCUGUUGUUGUUGCUUUUGCGUUUUCCCUCGCAUGUUGGAUGGUUUCUCUGCUCUUAUUACUUGGUUCCAAAAUCUGUUUUCACCCAAGAGUCCAAUCAUAUCUGUCUUCUGUUGCAUUCCAUCUAAACACUCUCUAUUGUAUGGCUGAAUCUUGUUAUUCAAGGAAGUUUUCGUUUUUUUUUUUUUUUCUUUUCUGUUUUUGGCUGGGAAAUUCGUGGUCAUGACCUAGGCUGAGGGACAGAAAUUUGAUGUUCAUUUGUAGCUUGAUUGAUAUAUUAUGCACACAUAUGCUGCAAUCUAAAACAGCAAUCAGUAGUAAUGCAUGCCUUAUAACUUUCAUUGUACUGUCUGCAUUUUUUUUUUCUUUCCUCUUGGUUUUCUGUUCGUUCGGCUGUUCUAAGUAGUUGUCGUCAUUGCAUUUCUGGUGUGGUCAUAGGAGGUUGUUCAACAGAUUGUUUGAAAGAUUUUGAGGUGUGUUAACAUUAAGUGAAAUUUCUGGUGGCUGUUUUCCUUCAAAAAGCAUGCGUGUGUUUGAAAUUUUUUUAGGAUAAGUAGCUAUCAGUUGCCUUUAUCUGGUUUUGGUUUGAAACUUCUUUCCAUUUUCUUCCUCUUCCCCCCUCCUAGUUUGUUGUGUUCAAGCGGAGUUGUUGAAUCCAUUGGUUUGCUUUGUACAAGUGCAUCUGGGCUAAAUAGAAAAGUUGCCGAACCUUGUGUAGCAUAGCUUGACUGUUAGCUUCAAUGUUUUGUGAAGUUUGGCUGCAGCAUGUUUCUCAUGUAGCCUCUCAUAAGAACUUGCAUGAUAUGUAAUGGGAAAUGGUUUGUUUUAGUAUGUUUCAUUCAUUAAUAAGUAAUGAGUUGUGUUAGCUAAGUUGAGCUCAAAAUGUCAUGGGAAUCCUGUUUUGCAUUUGCAGAGUUUUUUUUUCGGAUGAAGCUAUAUCAGAAAUACAGAAACAGAACCUGUUUUUCUGAGAAGCCUUCGUUUGCAUGCAUGAUAAUUUUCACAAAUUUCAUUUUUGACCCCUCAAGUCCCUUCUUAUUCUACUAUGACCCAGAAAAUUGAGAAAACUAACCAAUUGGGUCCCUGUGAUUUUGCAGCAAUGCAUUAUGGCCCAAUUACAUUCCAAUGCUUGCAAUUAGGUUCUAAGGUGUUCGCAUUUGAAUCAUUAAUUGAUCUUUAUUAUUUUUGGGACCUUUGAAGCUCUUUGAUGAUUCGUUUUGACGUUGAUUGUGAUUGAUUAGUGGUCGUUAUUGGGUCCUACAAAUGCAAGUUUAAACCAUUCAUGGACUUUCAUUCACUCUUGGAUUCUUGAGAUAUGAUGUUUGCUUGGAUUUUAAUUUUUUUACUUGGGGACCUUUGAGUUUUUAAAUGCUUCAAUUAGGUUCAAAUGAUUUGAGUAGUGCUUGCAUUUGGGUUUUUAGUAGAUGUUAUGCUUGGGGAUUGGAUGAUCAUGCUUUUUGCCUUGGUCUUUAAGUAGUUUUGACUUCAUUGAGUUGCAAUUGAGGGAAAGUUUGAUGUUUGGUGGAUUCAAAUUGUUUAGUUUAUAUCUUAUCACUAAAUUGGUGCAUUAAUCUUUUGUUUUUGGUGAUUUUAGCCUAAGUUAGUCUUUUCUUGGGUGACUCUAGCCAAGUUGAGUUUGUUUACCUCCUUAGUAUCACCAACGGGGAGGUAUAAUCUCUUUUACCCCUUUUGUUUCUCUCCUAUGUGGACUUAUGUGCUAAUUGGAAUUUGCAUCUCUACUUGCUUUCCUAGCCUCUCCUUAUUUCCUUUCAUUUUAUUUCAUUUACUUUUGAUUUUUAAUAAUGGGGUAUGUGUACACCUCUUGGCUUGUAAUAGAUAGGGCGUAGCAAGUAAUUUGGUCCAUUUUCCCUUUCCCCUUUGUUUUAGUUAGCAAAUGUAAUGGUUGCAUGCCUAUGUGUUAUAUGUUAAAUGCUUUAUUAGGAUUUUGCAUCUAGUCAAGCAUGGUAAGUGUUAUGUGCUACGUGUUUAUAAGUGAUUUGCAUGUCUACUCGCUUUUUGUAGUAUAGAUGAAUGGAAUGGAUGAAUGUACGUCACCACACUAGUCCAACGCUAGUUGUGGCUUCUUUUAUCGUUUCCACUAGUCCAACGCUAGUCGGAAUUCAUAGGAUGGGUUAGUCCAAUGCUAGACCCAAUAGGUUUUUUUUUCCUUUUUUUUUUUCAUUAAAUGCAUGAUCACCACAUAUCACGCAUUUUUCAUUAGUUUUAUCAUUUGGUAUGUUCCUCAAACCCCUUCCCCUUCACUUUAGGACUUGCAUCUCAUGCUAGUUAGGGUUCAUCUGCGUGGAAAUCCCCUUAAAUAUGGGAUAUAGACGAGUGUGGCUUUUUCUAAGCCUUAGCACGCUUGUAUCCUCUCUAUCAAAGGGCAAAUUGAGUCACGAUUUAGGUCUCCCCGUACCCAUUAUGCAUGAAUUCCCUAGGUUCAUGCAUCCACUCUAUCAUUACACUUUCAUUUUCUCCCCUCAUUUGCACACGUACACCUUUAUCCCUUCACUUGCACACGAACACUUCUCCUCUCAUUUGCACACGUACACCUUUUUAUCCCUUCACUUGCACACAAGCACCUUUAUCCCUUCACUUGCACACGAACACUUCUCCCCUCAUUUGCACACGUACACCUUUUUAUCCCUUCACUUGCACACAAACACUUUUAUCAUCACUUGCACACAUGUACUUCAUAUUAUCAUUUCACACACCGCACCUUGCCCACUCACGUGCACAUUUCCAUUUACACAUUCUUAUCUUUUAUUACUUUUUCAAACUCAUGUCCUCACAUUGCAUACAUGCAUCCCAUUCAUUUGCAUCCCACUCGCAUUAUUCGUGAUUUCUUCAAAGGAUCGUUAUUGGGCUUCACGAUUAAUGUGAUUGGCACCACUCAACCUUUGAAGGGAAAUUUCCCCCAAUACCCCUAGGUCUAGGGUUUGCAUUCAUGUAGU
RNAcentral lists this long non-coding RNA (17638 nucleotides) under Coffea arabica (coffee). RNAcentral describes it as "long non-coding RNA (CARA_LNC003685)". The record is from RNAcentral. Lineage: Eukaryota; Viridiplantae; Streptophyta; Magnoliopsida; Gentianales; Rubiaceae.